GCCGCAGUGGGACAAUCUGGUACUCCGGUCGCCUCGAAAGCGUCUUUCCGCAAGGAUAUCUCGGUUCGAAUCCGAGCUGCGGCG
RNAcentral lists this transfer RNA (84 nucleotides) under Candidatus Woesearchaeota archaeon. Its description in RNAcentral is "tRNA-Ser". The record is from RNAcentral. Lineage: Archaea; Nanobdellati; Candidatus Woesearchaeota.